CAAUAGCGUAUAUUAAAGUUGUUGCAGUUAAAAAGCUCGUAGUUGAAUUUUUGCUUGCCGCCGAUGUCGGAACUUCCGUACGUUCGGCGGCGUGCAUCCUUGGGUGGAACCUGUGUGGCAUUAGGUUGUCGUGCAGGGGAUGCUCAUCGUUUACUGUGAAAAAAUUAGAGUGUUCAAAGCAGGCUUACACCGUUGAAUAUAUUAGCAUGGAAUAAUAAGAUAGGACCUUGGUACUAUUUUGUUGGUUUGCGCACCGAGGUAAUGAUUAACAGGGACAGUUGGGGGUAUUCGUAUUCCAUUGUCAGAGGUGAAAUUCUUGGAUUUCUGGAAGACGAACUACUGCGAAAGCAUUUACCAAGGAUGUUUNCAUUAA
This 373-nucleotide ribosomal RNA is filed under the name uncultured eukaryote. Its description in RNAcentral is "partial 18S ribosomal RNA". It matches the Rfam family "Eukaryotic small subunit ribosomal RNA", at positions 592 to 976 of the family's 1831-position model. The record is from RNAcentral.